UGAUGUUGAAGUUUAUUAAUUUAGGCAUCUCACUAGUGUGCAGUAAUAACUCAACUUCAUUGAAUUUCUUCGGGUUUGAAGACCUUUUUUUGUGGUGAUCUGGAUUCUGUUUUGAAUUCUUAUGUGUACUUUAUUUAUUGCUAUGAUGUAAAUUGUAGAGUGUUUUCUUAGUGAUGCGAUGCUAAGUUUGUAUCAUAGUAUUUUG
RNAcentral lists this long non-coding RNA (205 nucleotides) under Nicotiana benthamiana. RNAcentral's name for it is "long non-coding RNA (NBEN_LNC042573)". The record is from RNAcentral. Lineage: Eukaryota; Viridiplantae; Streptophyta; Magnoliopsida; Solanales; Solanaceae.